AAAUAGCAUAUCAAUAAGCGGAGGAAAAGAAACCAACAGGGAUUGCCCUAGUAACGGCGAGUGAAGCGGCAACAGCUCAAAUUUGAAAUCUGGCCUUCGGGUCCGAGUUGUAAUUUGUAGAGGAUGCUUUUGGCGCGGUGCCUUCCGAGUUUCCCUGGAACGGGACGCCUUAGAGGGUGAGAGCCCCGUACGGUUGGACACCAAGCCUCUGUAAAGCUCCUUCGACGAGUCGAGUAGUUUGGGAAUGCUGCUCUAAAUGGGAGGUAAAUUUCUUCUAAAGCUAAAUAUUGGCCAGAGACCGAUAGCGCACAAGUAGAGUGAUCGAAAGAUGAAAAGCACUUUGAAAAGAGGGUUAAAUAGCACGUGAAAUUGUUGAAAGGGAAGCGUUUGCGACCAGACCUCUUCGUAGCGGAUCAUCCGGUGUUAUCACCGGUGCACUUCGCUACGUCUAGGCCAGCAUCGGUUUCUGUAGGGGGAUAAAAGCCUUGGGAACGUAGCUCCUUCGGGAGUGUUAUAGCCCUUUGCAUAAUACCCUUACGGGGACCGAGGACCGCGCUAUAUGCAAGGAUGCUGGCAUAAUGGUCGUCAACGACCCGUCUUGAAACACGGACCAAGGAGUCGAACAUUUAUGCGAGUGUUUGGGUGUUAAACCCUCACGCGUAAUGAAAGUGAACGGAGGUGAGAGCCCUUACGGGUGCAUCAUCGACCGAUCCUGAUGUCUUCGGAUGGAUUUGAGUAAGAGCAUAACUGUUCGGACCCGAAAGAUGGUGAACUAUGCGUGGAUAGGGUGAAGCCAGAGGAAACUCUGGUGGAGGCUCGCAGCGGUUCUGACGUGCAAAUCGAUCGUCAAAUCUGCGCAUGGGGGCGAAAGACUAUCGACCAUCAGCGUG
Molecule: ribosomal RNA, 890 nt
Filed under: Xylaria schimicola
Lineage: Eukaryota; Fungi; Ascomycota; Sordariomycetes; Xylariales; Xylariaceae
Description: partial large subunit ribosomal RNA
Rfam family: Eukaryotic large subunit ribosomal RNA
Source: RNAcentral